GCCACAUAAAAGAAAAAAAAAUGCCACGUAAAAGCUUACCGAAUGAAUGGCAUCAAAGAAAAAGUACAGUUACCUAUUGUUCUUAUAGCCAAGAAAGCUAUACCCGGACUGCUGAGUCGACAUCACAGGAUUCUCUUGACAGUGAUUGUGAGCUUUGUCUUCCCUCCCUUGUAUUUCCAUGGCGAAAACUCUUGAGCCUAAAAUAUCCAGUCCCAACAGAUCCGACUGCGGCCUUUCCAGACUCGACAAAAUCAAACUUACAGACCUACACUGCUUGAUUUUGAAGCAGACCUUAAUAAAACUGUACAGGAUUUAGCAGAGUAGGGAACUUGGAACUGUGUUUGUACGACAGCAAGUCCAGAGUGCAACGACAGACGAUUACCUCACUUUGACAAAAACAUUGAGUUAAUGCCAGAACUGAACAAGAGAGCUGGUUUCCAUCUAUCUACUCCACUCAUUCUGUUUGAGGUAAAUAUUUGUACCUGUAACAAAAAGCGUGGCUCAAAAUAUGGGGUUUUACAAAACCAAGGGAACUUAUAAUUCCUUGGAUUUUAUAUAAUUCAAAUGUUGGUACUUAAAAAAAGUGUUGAGAAGUUGCCUGGCAACAUUGUUUCUUACUUAUCAUUUGGGAAAUAGUGCUUUUAAACUACUGCAUCUGUUUCAUUUCAAAUGGAUGAUCUCUGGCUAGAAAAUAAGUUUAUGUGAUAUGGAAAUAAAAAGAUACUCA
Molecule: long non-coding RNA, 727 nt
Organism: Mercenaria mercenaria
Lineage: Eukaryota; Metazoa; Mollusca; Bivalvia; Venerida; Veneridae
Exons: 5
Source: RefSeq, a predicted model, not a curated record